RNAcentral lists this ribosomal RNA (619 nucleotides) under uncultured bacterium. Its description in RNAcentral is "bacterial SSU rRNA". It matches the Rfam family "Bacterial small subunit ribosomal RNA", at positions 1 to 615 of the family's 1533-position model. The record is from RNAcentral.
UAGAGUUUGAUCCUGGCUCAGAUUGAACGCUGGCGGCAGGCCUAACACAUGCAAGUCGAGCGGCAGCACAGGGGAACUUGUUCCCUGAGUGGCGAGCGGCGGACGGGUGAGUAAUGGCUGGGAACCUGCCCUGAUGUGGGGGAUAACAGUUGGAAACGACUGCUAAUACCGCAUGAUGUCUACGGACCAAAGAGGAGGACCUUCGGGCUUCUCGCGUCAGGAUGGGCCCAGUUGGGAUUAGCUAGUUGGUAGGGUAAUGGCCUACCAAGGCGACGAUCCCUAGCUGGUUUGAGAGGAUGAUCAGCCACACUGGAACUGAGACACGGUCCAGACUCCUACGGGAGGCAGCAGUGGGGAAUAUUGCACAAUGGGCGCAAGCCUGAUGCAGCCAUGCCGCGUGUGUGAAGAAGGCCUUCGGGUUGUAAAGCACUUUCAGCAGUGAGGAAGGUUACGUAGUUAAUACCUGCGUGAUUUGACGUUAGCUGCAGAAGAAGCACCGGCUAACUCCGUGCCAGCAGCCGCGGUAAUACGGAGGGUGCGAGCGUUAAUCGGAAUUACUGGGCGUAAAGCGCAUGCAGGCGGUCUGUUAAACAAGAUGUGAAAGCCCCGGGCUUAACCU